GGAGAGCGCUUCGUUCACACCGAAGAGGUCACUGGUUCGAUCCCAGUAUCGCCCA
Molecule: transfer RNA, 55 nt
Filed under: Streptomyces sp. MnatMP-M27
Lineage: Bacteria; Bacillati; Actinomycetota; Actinomycetes; Kitasatosporales; Streptomycetaceae
Description: tRNA_Val_CAC
Rfam family: tRNA
About the family: Transfer RNA (tRNA) molecules are approximately 80 nucleotides in length. Their secondary structure includes four short double-helical elements and three loops (D, anti-codon, and T loops). Further hydrogen bonds mediate the characteristic L-shaped molecular structure. tRNAs have two regions of fundamental functional importance: the anti-codon, which is responsible for specific mRNA codon recognition, and the 3' end, to which the tRNAs corresponding amino acid is attached (by aminoacyl-tRNA synthetases). tRNAs cope with the degeneracy of the genetic code in two manners: having more than one tRNA (with a specific anti-codon) for a particular amino acid; and 'wobble' base-pairing, i.e. permitting non-standard base-pairing at the 3rd anti-codon position.
Source: RNAcentral